UGGGAAAGGAUGUGAGAUUUCUAAGACAACUAGGAUGUUGGCUUAGAAGCAGCCAUUCAUUAAAAGAGUGCGUAAUAGCUCACUAGUCGAGAGAUCUUGCGCCGAAAAUGUAACGGGGCUAAACUUACCACCGAAGCUACGGGCUUGAACUUAGUUCAAGCGGUAGGAGAGCGUCGUAACCGGGCUGAAGUCGUACCGUAAGGAGCGGUGGACUGGUUACGAGUGAGAAUGUUGGCAUCAGUAGCGAGAUGUGGGUGAGAAUCCCACAGGCCGAAAACCUAAGGUUUCCUCAGGAAGGUUCGUCCGCUGAGGGUUAGUCGGGACCUAAGCCGAGGCCGAAAGGCGUAGGUGAUGGACAACUGGUUGAUAUUCCAGUACCACUACCAUCGUUAUUAUCGAUGGCGUGACGCAGGAGGAUAGUGUGUGCUAGCUAUUGGAUGCUAGUCUAAGCGUUUAGGCAGUGAGAGUAGGCAAAUCCGCUCUCAUAAUGCUGAGGCGUGAUGGG
RNAcentral lists this ribosomal RNA (505 nucleotides) under Enterococcus faecium. RNAcentral describes it as "partial 23S ribosomal RNA". It matches the Rfam family "Bacterial large subunit ribosomal RNA", at positions 1064 to 1570 of the family's 2925-position model. The record is from RNAcentral. Lineage: Bacteria; Bacillati; Bacillota; Bacilli; Lactobacillales; Enterococcaceae.